Molecule: ribosomal RNA, 595 nt
Filed under: Meyerozyma guilliermondii
Lineage: Eukaryota; Fungi; Ascomycota; Pichiomycetes; Serinales; Debaryomycetaceae
Also listed under: 1 other name
Description: eukaryotic LSU rRNA
Rfam family: Eukaryotic large subunit ribosomal RNA
Source: RNAcentral
UAAGCGGAGGAAAAGAAACCAACAGGGAUUGCCUUAGUAGCGGCGAGUGAAGCGGCAAAAGCUCAAAUUUGAAAUCUGGCACCUUCGGUGUCCGAGUUGUAAUUUGAAGAUUGUAACCUUGGGGUUGGCUCUUGUCUAUGUUUCUUGGAACAGGACGUCACAGAGGGUGAGAAUCCCGUGCGAUGAGAUGCCCAAUCCUAUGUAAGGUGCUUUCGAAGAGUCGAGUUGUUUGGGAAUGCAGCUCUAAGUGGGUGGUAAAUUCCAUCUAAAGCUAAAUAUUGGCGAGAGACCGAUAGCGAACAAGUACAGUGAUGGAAAGAUGAAAAGAACUUUGAAAAGAGAGUGAAAAAGUACGUGAAAUUGUUGAAAGGGAAGGGUUUGAGAUCAGACUCGAUAUUUUGUGAGCCUUGCCUUCGUGGCGGGGUGACCCGCAGCUUAUCGGGCCAGCAUCGGUUUGGGCGGUAGGAUAAUGGCGUAGGAAUGUGACUUUGCUUCGGUGAAGUGUUAUAGCCUGCGUUGAUGCUGCCUGCCUAGACCGAGGACUGCGAUUUUAUCAAGGAUGCUGGCAUAAUGAUCCCAAACCGCCCGUCUUGAA